This is a non-coding RNA of Camellia sinensis, 541 nucleotides long. Lineage: Eukaryota; Viridiplantae; Streptophyta; Magnoliopsida; Ericales; Theaceae. The record is from RefSeq and is a predicted model, not a curated record.
AGGAAUGUGCAAUUACGAAUGAAAAUGAUGAUAAGGAAAUUCAGCAAGACAAACAACGACUUCUAAAAGGAAAGGAGUGUGAAAUUAUGAAUGAAAAUGAUGAUAAGGAAACUGAGCAGGACAAACGACAACGUUUGAAAGGAAAGGAAUUCCACAAUUAUGAAUGAAAAUGAUGAUGAUAAAGAAAUUGAGAAGAGCAAACAAACAUUUCUCCAACCUUUGACUACAUCUAUGACUGAUGGUAAAAUGGCAUGCGGCAAACAGUAAAGUACUGGUGACAUGCCUCCUCCAAGGACGUAGCUUGGGAGGACCUAAGAGCUGGAGGCUCUAUUUUUGUAUUUGGAUUUAAAUGUUUAUUCAAGCCAAGGGCUUGUUAUUUGUAUAAAGCUUAUGACUCCCUUUUGUUGAAACUAAGCAAUGUCUUGGAAAGAUAUAAGCCCGCAGAGCAUUACUUUGUUGUUAUUAACUAGUGUUACAUACUGUAGAUUCAGGAUGAACAUUUAUGAAUGUAUAACGCAUGUAAUGUCUUUCGUAAUUUGAA